This 413-nucleotide long non-coding RNA is filed under the name Ananas comosus (pineapple). RNAcentral describes it as "long non-coding RNA (ACOM_LNC014013)". The record is from RNAcentral. Lineage: Eukaryota; Viridiplantae; Streptophyta; Magnoliopsida; Poales; Bromeliaceae.
GCACCAUGUCAUUGGUGCUACCAAGUUUUUGGCCAUUGGAUUAAGAGAUGUGCGGUUAUGAUGAUAUGGGCCUUCUAAAAUAGAGUGGGUGGUUGGUUGAAUUGUAUGAUCUAACGGAUGAAAAUGAUGAAAAUGGUAGAUCAUAUAUAUAUAUAUAUAUAUGAGCAAGAAUAUUUCUAAAAUCACCAAUUCAUUAGUGCUUUUAGAUUUAUAGCCCUUGAAUGGAGGUGAUGUAAGGUUAGAAUGAUGGUGGUAGGGGGUGGUAGAUAGUAGCCGGUGGAAUAGUGUUUGAUCCAAAGGCUAUUAAUUCUCAAAAGGUAGAUCUAAAGAUUAGAAACUUUAAAGCACCAAUAAAUUGGUGCUUUUAGGUCUAUUAUAGUUCAACUCUCUUUCUCUAUUUAUGUAUAUAAUUU